UCUACACAACUGAAGUGGACAGCCGUGUGUGCGUCACUGAUUUCUACAGGACAUGUAAAAGCCAGAGCUGGAAGACCCUCCUGAUCUCCCGUUUGGGAACACUUUGGCUGUGCAAUACAACAAUGGAGGACGAAAGUUUGCCGAGAUUGUUCAGCAGCUGCUUCUGACAACACAUCAAACAUGUGUUGCAUCUUUCCUGCUUCCGGCUCCCAAACCGUAGUCCAAGAGCGCAGUGGAGACACUACUCCAGGGCUGAUGUAUUCACGGGGGCAACACCCUUCACUCUACCCGGCAGUGGGUCUCCACAGCUCCGGAACCAGGCUGGCAUCGUGGCGAAGUUGCGUUCUCUCAAUGAUGCAAUGCGGAAGGGACACAGCAUAAAAGGUAAGAAAAGAUUUAUUUGUGACUACAAAUAAAUUACUAUGACAACAGAAACUAAAUAUGAAUUGCCACCAGGAACUAAGGACGUCUAAUAACAAACAGGCUGUGAUAACAAAACAGAAAAGCCGAACAUGCCAUGAUCAAAGUAGUGGAUCAUGACAUAAGCCCCUCAAGGGACAGAUCCCAGAUCUCCCAAAAAUUCUUGCUUGAACCCCCCCACACAAUAAAGUCCAAUCAUGAAGGGAGGACACGGUGGAGGGUCGCCAGGUCACGUGUCCCCAAAUCCACCGUGGACAAGUCAGGUGGCGGUGGCGGGUGGAACGCCGCUGCCGCCAAAGUCAUGGAGGGCGACCUCGUAGAGGCCACACUCGUUGCCGACGUGGGGGAGGAAGCGCCCGGCGAGGAGGACGACCUGGGCACGGCCACGGAUGUGGCCGACGUUGAGGUGGAUGUAUCGGCGCUAUUGUGAUGGCGGGCUUGGAAGCUGUAGGCAAAGACGUCACUGGUGUCGCAGCCAAAGCAGGUGGCGUCGUCGUGGAGACAGGCCCUGGAACAGCAGACGAAGCCAGCGCUGGAGCUUAGAGCGUCAACCAAGCAGCAGGAACUGGUUCUGACGCCAGCCGAGGUGCAGGCACUGGUGCCAGCCGAGGAGCAGGCACAGGUGCCAGCCGAGGAGCAGGCACUUGUGCCAGCCGAGGAGCAGGCACUGGUGUCAGCGGAAGAGCAGGCACUGGUACCAGCCGAGGAGCAGGUGCUGGAGUGGGAACAAGCAUUGAGUCCGGUGCUGGAGUGGGAUCCAGCAUAGUGUCAGGUGCUGGGGUGGGAUCCAGCAAAAAGUCAGGUGCUGGAGUGGGAUCCAGCAUAGUGUCAGGUGCUGGGGUGGGAUCCAGCAAAAAGUCAGGUGCUGGAGUGGGAUCCAGACCUGGACUAGGACUAUGACACGGACUAAGACUUGGACUCAAACUAUGACUAAGACUAGGACCAGGACUCAAACUAUGACUGUGUCUUGGGCUAGGACUGUGGCUAAGACUUGGGCUAGGCCUCGGACCAAGGGUCGGACUAUCUACAGCUAGCCGUGGUGCCGGUGGAGGCGGCCUAGGAGGUGGUAGCAGUUUAGCUAACCAGAAUACCUGUGGAGGAGGACGCGGCGUGGUGGGACAAAAUACUAGGAGGUAGAGGCUUGGCUGAGCGCAGCUGUGCUACCUCCGCAGCACAGCUACCAGCACUAGCCUCCCCCUCAAGACACGGACGCCAAACGCGUUCCCCGCAGUCUGAAACUACCUCUAGAGGUGGGUAGGGGGGGUGAACAGAAAGAGGUAGACAGGGUGGGAGGAAAAGUCGCUGGGGGAGGAGGCCAAGUCACAAGUGGUGGGGUUUCAGAAAAUAAAGACUUAUUAUUAAGUCCCCUGUGGACGACUGAGGGAGUGCAUGUUCUAAAAAAAAAUCCUCAUCUCCACUCUCCUCUGCAGACGUCAGAGGAGUGACGUCACGGCUGCAGUACCCGUGACUGACAGAUCGGCCGGGGGAGUGAAAAGAGGGACAAAAAAAGCAUUACCAGUGGUAUAGGGUGAGUCCUGGACGGGUUGAAGGUGGCUGUGUCUAUGAAAGCGUGAUGGCGGGGUAAGCGUGUCUCCAUCGCGAGUUGAAGUCUUCCACUGCGACUUUCGCCCUCGCUGACGAGUGCGCGCAGGGCGAGAGGGAACAUCAUCGUGCCAAGAGGAGUCAAGUGGAGCUUGGAGACGUCCAGAUUCCCAAAUCAUCUCUGGCGUGUAGCGAAAUGUCCCUGCUUCCAGCGCUUGGGCUAUCUUCCCCUCCGAUGCGAGAGAACGUCUUUUUGCUCGCAGUGUACUGUGACGCUUUGCUGGCAUCGUGGUGUGGUUGCGCUCUCGUGGAUGCAAGCGGAAUGGAACACAGCGUUGAGGUAGGAAUGUUGAUUUAUUUAUAUACUAAUGAACAAACUAAGAACCAAAAUACUUGCACAAAGGCACUAAAACAAAAACAACUGAACUAACGUGUGAGCUAGAAAAGAACAAAAGACGCUAGCAUGUGAGCUAGGGAAACGAACAAACAAAAUAGCAUGGAAGUUAAGAGUAAGAAAGGUAUUUACCACAAUGUGGGAAUGCGACGUCACCUGUUAUGUAUACAGCAAACUACACUGAGGCCGAAUGGCAAACAAAGGCAGGCUUAAAUACAGGCAGAAAUUAGGAGGCAGGUGCGCGUGACAAACAGAAGGCAGGUGACACAAAUGAGUUACUAUGACAACAGAAACAAAACAAACAGGAUGUGAUAACCAAACAGAAAACCCGAACAUGCCAUGAUCCCAGUAAUGGAUCAUGACCAGAAUCACAAUGCUGGUGGAAUCUCACAUCAAAUGUAUAAAGACCAUUUGAUAUAUAUCUAUAAUAUAUAUAUCUAUAAUAAUGCUGCUUUUGCUCUAACUUCACUGGUUUUCCGAACCUGACCAGACUGAAUCAUUGUUUUAGUUUAGUUCUGUUUCUCCUUGACGGAUUAAAGUAUUAUCCCAAAGAUUACUAUGAAAAAAUACUUUUAACGGAAUUAUUUACACACCUACAAGUCAAAUCUAUGAGGUGUUAAGUAAUCAAUUUCAGAGGAAUAUGGAGUUGACAAAGACAAAUAGGAAGUUUAUUGAAAUGACAGUCUCACAGGUUGAUCACUAAUACACAAAAGUAUUUACAUGAUUGGCAUAUAUUGUGGGUAUGCAUAGUAACUAAGUCAUCCAAGAGUUUUAGGUUAUGCUGAUCUUGGCAGCAGGUAAGGUGGAUUUGUUCAAGUCAUCAAAAUAAGGGUGUGUCAUGGCCUCACGUGCAGAGAUCCUUUUAGAGGGAUUGUAGACCAACAUUUUCUGUAAACAAGAGAAAACAUUACACAUCUACUGAGUACAAUAUAAAUAUUACAGCAAGCCACUACUCAGUGGCCUAGUGGAUAGAGCAGUGGUUCUCAUAUGAGGGUACGCCUACCCUUGGGUGUACUUGAAGGUAUGCCAAGGGUACGCAAGAUUUUUUAUAAAUAUUCUAAAAAUAGCAACAAUUCAAAAAUCCUUUAUAAAUAUAUUUAUUGAAUAAUACUUCAACAAAAUAUGAAUGUAAGUUCAUAAACUGUGAAAAAAAAAUACAACAAUGCGAUGCAAUAGUGUUGACAGCUAGAUUUUUUGUGGACAUGUUCCAUAAAUAUUGAUGUCAAAGAUUGCUUUUUUUGUGAAGAAAUGUUUAGAAUUAAAAUCAUGAAUCCAGAUGGAUCUCUGUUAAAAUCCCCAAAGAGGGCACUUUAAGUUGAUGAUUACUUUUAUGUGUAGAAGUAUUUAUUUUUAAUUGAAUCACUUGUUUAUUUUUCAACAAGUUUUUAAUUAUUUUCAUAUCUUUUUUUUCCCAAAUAGUUCAAGAAAGACCACUACAAAUGAGCAAUAUUUUGCACUGUUAUAACAUUUAAUAAAUCAGAAACCGAUGACAUAGUACUGUAUUUUACUUCUUUACCUCUUUUUUUCAACCAAAAAUGCUUUGCUCUGAUUAGGGGGUACUUGAAUUAAAAAAAAAUGUUCACAGAGGGUACAUCACUGGAAAAUGGUUGAGAACCACUGGGUUAGAGUGUCCGCCCUGAGAUCGGUAGGUUGUGAGUUCAAACCCAAGCCGAGUCAUAACAAAGACUGUAAAAAUGGGACCCCUUUACCUCCCUGCUUGGCACUCAGCAUCAAGGAUUGAAAUUGGGGUUUAAAUCACCCAAAAAUGAUUCCCGGACGUGUCCACCGCUGCUACCCAGUACUCCCCUCACUUCCCGGGGGUGAAAAAGGGGAUGGGUCAAAUGCAGAGGACAAAUUUCACUACACCUAGUGUGUGUGUGACAAUCAUCGGUACUUUAACUAUCUAGGGGUUUGACCAUACAUCAUAUUAAUUAAAACAAUAGAUUGUAUUGACCUUGCAACCACAAGACCAUAUUUGAACUUUACUUUUGAGGAGGAAAGCACUGGGAUAAUAUUCUACAUAAAUGUCACAAUUUUUUCGUGCCUUUUGCUAUAUAGUAGUAGUAUUACCUUUUUCUCUGUUCUUAAAGCCUUUAGCUCUAUUUUUUUUGAUGAGUUUUAUUUAUUUUCUACAAUAUGUCGUGUUCUAAUAAAAACAUAACAUAAAGGAUCCCUGGUUCACACUGAACAUGCAUGCUUUUAUGGACGUCAAGUCAGUGAAGAACCACAACUUUCGUCUACUACCCAGGUUGUUGGUUUCCUUUUUAGACAGAAAAAAUGAUAAUUAAAGAGAGAGGGUGUCUGUAACCGCAGCUGGAACUAACGGAUGUGUUACACUCAUUUUUAUUUAAAAUGUUGGAGAUGAGCUGUACUUUGCAUAACUUGAAACAACAAUAGAAACUUGGAAACCACUUUAUGUUGCUCAAAGACCUUUGAGUGCCGAACUGGAGAGGCCAGACUUGACAGUAAAAUAUAUGUAUGUGGGUAAGGCUAAUACUCUCUCUCUCAUCCAGUUUGUAGUCAGAAGAAAAGAACAAAUUAAAACAUGUUGGGUAAAACAUUCCUCAGCUUCUCCAUAUUUACAUGGGUUAGUCUCCGCAGUGUGGAGGUUGUUUUGGCGCGAAAGCUGAAUUCUAUUUCAGAGUGGUGCAGACUGACAGUGCUGUGGUCGGGUUAUAGUCACAAGUCUGGCUAAGUCUGCUACUUGGUUGGACAUUUGAAAAAUCUUAUAGGCCAACCAAAUAUUUUUUCAAUGAAGGCCUAUUUAUUAGGGUAGAUCCGGUUACAAUAAUCCUACUUCCAGCUUGAUAUGCUGAUUUCAAUGCAUUUAGUUGUUGUUCUCACCUCUGUAUACCAAGGAAAUGUGUCUCUAAAAUGUUCUGUGCUUCGUCUUAUAUAAUGCCGUUUUAAAUCGCACAUGUUCACAACAGCGAUAGUCUCCUGGCAUAUUAAGAUCACAAGUUUUAUGCUCCUUCGAAAGAGAAUAACUGCUAAUUAAUAUGUCCAAUUGUCUUGGAACUGCUGUCGCAGUCUACUUUUCUUUUACCCGCAAAUGUAGAACACGGCAUUUUCAUGAAAUAUACACCCAGAUAGUCUGGAAAGCGUCGAUAUGCGAGCGGCUACAUAAACACAAGUGAAUGCAGCAGUAACUCCUUGAGUGACGCAGUUACAGUCAGUCAGUGUAGCGUUGAUACGGGGACCACCAAUAGGCUGUCUAUUGAUCAAAUGUUGCCAUCUUUUAAAAGUUUGCAGAUUAAGGACUUGAAAUCUGAAAAUAGAUUGUAAGUUGUUUUGCUUUCUUACUGCCAACAGGUUCAGGCCAUUCUCAUCCAGGUUUUUCACCAUUGAUGAAAGGUUUCCAGGUUUCCAUUUUGGGAAAGUGCUUUUGUAGUCGGGUAGGCUUUCUACUUCAGGCCAAAUGUCAUUGCCUGGGGUGCCCAGCGUCCUGCGAAACAAAUGAUUCACAUUUUUAAUGGCCUUGCAUUCCAUUUGAAUAGUUCGUGGAAAAAAACAAACUAAACACUACCUGAAAAUUCUAAACAGCUGGUCUAUUUCAGAGUCCCCAUGGAACAGUGGCUUCUUGGUGGCAAGUUCAGCAAAGAUGGUGCCGGUACUCCAAACAUCAAUCGGAGUUGAAUAUCGGGGCGAACCUAGGAGAACCUCUGGGGCUCGGUACCAAAGGGUUACAACCUGAAAACAUAUACAUAUUGCUGAACCGACCCAGUAUUCAUGUAAGAGGAUCUGAGUUUAGAACGGUCGAGAUGGUAUACUGCAUAUGUCAAGACAACACUGCAACAUCUCCACACAAACUGAAGCUCCUUUUUGGGCGUUUUUGUACACCACCCUGAUAAGUUACUGUAUUCUUAAGUUGCAAACGCUCACCCUGACUACUUAAAAAACACUUCAUGCCAUAGUGGACAAAACUAUCUUUCUGGACUCAUUUGGGUAUGAAACCUUUGUCCAAAUAACAUUUGGAUUGUCCAAGUGGACAGCUGUAUACACAAGUCAAGUCAAGCUUAAAUGUGUCAAUUUCAUAGCAUAGGUUUAUUUGUUGGUUGGCAUCCAUCAGUCCAUGGUGAUGGAAGUGCCUUGAAACGUAAAAAUCAUGUAUAUAAUAUAUUACAGUUUUCAUUGUUUUUCUGUUCUCCCUGUAUAUAAAAAACCUGCCAUCUGUAUGAGGAUGUUAAUAUCCAAAUGUAAGCAGAUGACGCAGGUAUUUAUUCUUGGGGAAAAGACACUGAAAUGGUUGCCAAAAAACUUAUAGCAGCCACUGAGAAGGUUGUAAGAUGGCAACAUGACUCUUGUCUCACAUUAAACAUUAAGAAAACGGCAACAAUGUACUUUGUGAACAAAUAUCAUUGUAUAACAUGUUGGUCCUAAACAAAUAAAGCCACCCAAAGGCCAUUGGAAACUUCGCACACCAAUUACUCAAAAUCCCUGACCGAAAACCACAGCAACACCACCAUUGUUUAGUCCUUAAAAAAUUAUGAAUGUAAAAUUUUGACGACAUUCAAAGAUUUCCAUCUAUACAAAUGACCCUUAAAAUCUUAAAUAACACUGCACCAGCACCACUUAAGCAUUUUGUGUAGUUCAGGUCGCAAGGUAGCAUACCCAGAUGUAAAAACUCUUUAGCCCAAUCAGCCUUUUCAUAUAAAGCGAUAAGGGAAUGGAACCACCUCACAACAGAUCUGAAAAGUCAAACAAAAUAAUCUCUAUUCACAGUAGAACUUAAAAAGUGGUUUUGGACCAAUCAAAGCUGCCCACACGGACACUGAGGUGGGCACUAUGUUUGACCUACAUGACAACUUAGGCCAUAUCCACACAAAGUUUCAAAAACACACAAUUGGGGUUAAAAUGAUCUCCAUCUACACAAGUGUAGUUUCAAAAUUGUCUAUGUCUACACACAAACGCAUACACCUGCUGUCGUGCACAUUUUGUCCAAUCAGAAGCCUGAAAAAAGCAGCAAUAGCUGACUUGGUUCAGCAUCACACCCCUUUUUAUGUUUAUUUGGAUAUACUUGAGACAAACAAUGACAUGUACUGUACAUUAUUUUUAAAGCCAGCCUACACGUACAGAGCCCUGGGAACAUUACUAAAAAGCGAAUGCACGCCUGUGCUGCUGAAACCCAACACUCAUAAAAUGCUAACUUAUUUAGCAACAUGGGGAUGUAUUACAUGUGCAGUGAAGUGUUCAUUAUUUGUAAAUCAGCACGCAAUAACGACCCAAGAAAACCAUUUUGCAUGUUAAAGUGUCUAUUUAAAGCACACAAACGUGCGUGAGCCGCUGCAAAACGUUUGUGGAAUUAUAAAGCAUUUAAAUCAUCGAUACAGUGAUAUAUUACAUGUGUAACGAAGUGUAUAUUGUCUUUAACAUCAGUACACAAGGAGAAUGCUACAUUAUAUUAUUUCGUAGUAGUUUGGUCGCUUAUUACGCGCGAGCCCGGUCGUGCCUGGCUCAAUCUACAAAAAUGAAAACAAGACACAUAAGUUAACUUCAUGAUUUGUCGUUAAACAAGGACUAAAAACAUGAGAUAAUAUUGCACCUUUCUUAUGACACAGCAAAAAGUCUUGCUUGUCAAAAUUGUCCCAUCAAAUGGAAGUUUGACAGUGUUUAUAUCCACAACAUAUGACUGUCAUUAGCGUCAGUGGGAGUGUUGCAAUGCCCAUUUUGAUGUGUCUUUUUUAUUAAUGUUGGAUGAAAAUAGAAGCAUGUUUACGUUCAAAUGUACCAUAAGUCAUGUUAUAGUGUGUUUAAAGGCAGCAAGGCAGUGUUGUUGAGCUUGGAAAUGACAGCGCACAACCGUGACGUCACAACAAGUCUCUGUUUGUGCCGUGUACAGGCAUACGUUAAGCGGAGAGUUUUGGAUCGCUACACUUUGGCAAGCGUUUGCAGAAGUCUGUGUUUUUAAAGACAAAAGUAUGCGUCUGCGAGUGGACAAGAGGCCUAAACGCAGAGAUAAGUAUGCGUUUAUUAAGUAUCUGUGUUCGUGUGGACAUGGCCUUAAUGUGUAUCAUAUUAAUUUAUGAGAAAUGUUUUAUUAUGAGCUAUGAAAUGUAUCUAUUCAUAAUUAGUGUUGCCAUCACCACAACAGGUUGCCCGUCUCACAGGUCCCUUCCUGGUUAUAGAGGCUGACCUGCAGGCUCGGAGAGACCCACAUGCUGGAACAAUGUCAAGGGGACUUUAAGGACAGUCUUUGAGCGAUCAUCACGGCAACAGCAGUGUCUGCAAUGCCUUCCUCAAAAUGGAGUCUCGCGGGAUGAUUAUACGAGAAAUACGGCUAAUGACAAAAAACACAGUUUGAUGCACCAGAUUAAACACCUACAGGUCGCAAAUAUACUGUGUCGAAAUUUUAAAAAUAUUGCUUUUAUUUUGCAAAAAACUGCAAUGGAAACGCAGCUAUUGUUAGUGAGAAGGCAUUUUCUGACUGUUCUUUUUGAUUACAUGCCAUUGUAUUAGGGCUGGGCGAUAUAUCGAUAAACUCGAUAUAUCGCGGGUUUGUCUCUGUGCGAUAUAGAAAAUGACUAUAUCGUGAUAUACUAGUAUACGUUCUCACGUAGUUGUUUUUAGCUGUGGACAUUAAACUGCAUGCGUUUCUCCCUCUUUCUUGUCUCUCCUUCUCACAGAGAUGUAAAACAAGCGCACCUUCUUACAUACGUCACAUGAGCAACGUCAUACGCGCCCGCGGAGCAGAGAGGUAGCGAUAUCGUAACAUUAGCUGUGAUGCUAGUGGAGUGGUAAGAAUCUGGCAACAAAUGGAGGAAGAAUGAAUGCCCAAGAAAAACAGCACGGGGUCCAUCGUCUGGCGGUGGUUUGGCUUUAAGUGGUAAUAUGUUGAACAUUUAGGCGGCAGAAGCGUUUCUACAAAAAGAAGCACCACUGCUAAUUUGUAGCAUCAUUUGAAAAGUCACCCGCUAGAGAAUGAAGUGUGCUUGAAACUGUGCAUGUCAACAUCUCUGUUCAGUGACACACCCACAAAUGCCGAAGCAACUAUUUCCAGAUCAACACCGUAGGACAUACACUAUUUGAUAUGCAGCGCAUUUUUAUGUGACACUUAUUGAAGUAUCUUGUGUGACAUCAUGCACAAAAGUGCCCUUUAUCUGUUUUUAACUAUUGUAGUGGCGUUCUGUACAGAAAGUACACUUUAAUUUAGUGUUGUUUUGAUAUGUCAUCUUAGUGACAUCAUGUACAAAAGUGCACUCAUAGCUUGUUUUAAAAUGUCUCUGACAAUCUUGCACUUUCUGUUUUGAAAUGACGUGAAUAUUUGUGCCACUGCUUAAUAACUGUUUAAUAAAUACAGUUUUGGUAAA
Nerophis ophidion (straightnose pipefish) is the source of this 9663-nucleotide long non-coding RNA. RefSeq lists it as uncharacterized. Lineage: Eukaryota; Metazoa; Chordata; Actinopteri; Syngnathiformes; Syngnathidae. The transcript has 2 exons. The record is from RefSeq and is a predicted model, not a curated record.